AAGCAAAGAGAAAAUUCAACACAUCAUUCUGAAAAAGAAGAAAAACAACCCCUACUAAGCUUA
Molecule: small nucleolar RNA, 63 nt
Filed under: Sorex araneus (European shrew)
Lineage: Eukaryota; Metazoa; Chordata; Mammalia; Eulipotyphla; Soricidae
Description: Small nucleolar RNA SNORD63 (ENSSARG00000020242.1)
Source: RNAcentral